AUGGACACCCGGGUGCUGCCCGUUCCCAUGGAUCCGGCGACGGCGGCGAUGUUCCGGCUCGACGGCCAGGACCCGGACGAGAUGGAGGCCCUCUUCGCCCGCGUGCUCUCCUACACCCACUACGCCCUCCCGGACCCGCCCGUCUCCGUCGACGCUCGCCUCUGCGCUCUCCUCCCCCAGCACUCCGUCGACGGCGUCAGCCGCCUUCCCGACCUGCUCCUCCGCAACAUCGUCUCUCGCCUCCCAGUCAAGGAAGGCGCGCGCACCGCGACGCUCUCCCGGCGCUGGCGCGUCUGGCGCUCUGCCCCGCUCGUCCUCGUUGAUUCUCACAUCCUCCCCGCAGCCGCAGCCACCGCAGUCGCAGGCACCGCGUCCGCGCGUAGCGAUGCGCGGCGCAUCACCUCCACCGUGUCCCGCAUCAUCGCCGCGCACCCGGGACCCUUCCGCUGCGUCCACCUCACCAGCAGCCACAUGGAAGAGUUCCAUGGCCUGCUCACGCGCUGGCUCCGCAUCCUCGCCAACAAGGGGAUCCAGGAACUUGUCCUCGUCAACCGCCCUUGGCCGCUCGAUCUCGUUCUCCCCUCCACCUUCUUAGGCAUGACCACCCUCACCCGCCUCUACCUCGGCCUCUGGAAGUUCCCCGACACGGCCGGCAUCCCGAGCGCCACCUGUUUACCUAACCUCCUUGAGCUCGGGCUCUGCAGCCUCGUCAUGGAGAGCAAGGAUCUGGACUUCAUUCUCGACAGGAGCCCCGUGCUGGAGACGCUUUAUAUCCAUGGGAAUCUUUUCAAGGUUAGUCUUCGCCUUGUCAACCAAAGCCUCUGCGUGAAGAUUCUCAUGUCCUCCUUUGAAGAAAUCGCUGUGGUGGACGCCCCGCGCCUUGAGAGACUCAUCCUAACAGGAUGUUGGAGCAGCGGCGGGGUUUGCACCAAGGUGAAGAUCGGUUAUGCCCCCAAGUUGCACUCGUUGGGAUACUUGGAUUCAGGAAGUCAUGACCUAGAGUUCGGCAACACCGUCAUCAAGGCUGGGACAAAGGUGAGCCCAAGCACCAUGGUACCAAGUGUGAGGGUCCUGGCUUUGGAGGUGCGUUGUGGAGUCCGCAAUGAUGUCAAGAUGAUCCCGACUGUCCUCAGAUGCUUUCCCAAUGUUGAGACGUGUUAG
This 1161-nucleotide ribosomal RNA is filed under the name Triticum aestivum (bread wheat). Its description in RNAcentral is "partial small subunit ribosomal RNA". Lineage: Eukaryota; Viridiplantae; Streptophyta; Magnoliopsida; Poales; Poaceae. The record is from RNAcentral.